RNAcentral lists this ribosomal RNA (482 nucleotides) under Russula oleifera. RNAcentral describes it as "partial 12S small subunit ribosomal RNA". It matches the Rfam family "Bacterial small subunit ribosomal RNA", at positions 359 to 890 of the family's 1533-position model. Lineage: Eukaryota; Fungi; Basidiomycota; Agaricomycetes; Russulales; Russulaceae. The record is from RNAcentral.
GAAUAUUAGUCAAUGCUCGAAAGAGUGAACUAGCUAACUGAAAUCAAUUAAAAAAAUUGAUAACAUAAGGGAAAAUAAUGAUAUUACCUUAUUAUUAGUGUCGUCCAAAACUGGUGCCAGAAGACUCGGUAAGGCCAGAGACACAAACGUUAAUCGUCUUAAUCAGGCGUAAAGGGUUUGUAGGCGGCUUUAAAUUGAUUUAUAAAAAAAAAAUAAGUUAAGAAUAAAAGCUAGAAUCAAAUAGAGGAUAUAUCAAAUAAUGCUUAGAGUAGGUCUGAUAUCCUUAGAUACUAAGUAGAAUAUUAAAGGCGAAAGCUUUUUUCCAUUAAUGAUUGACGCUCAGAAACGAAGGUGAGGAUAGGAAAUAGGAUUAGAUACCCAAAAUACCCCUCUCUGUCAACGAUGAAUGGUAGUUAUUAGUAAUAAAUUUAUUAAUGACAAUGUUAACACGAUAACCAUUCCGCCUUGUGAGUACAACUGCA